Molecule: small RNA, 77 nt
Filed under: Chryseobacterium arachidis
Lineage: Bacteria; Pseudomonadati; Bacteroidota; Flavobacteriia; Flavobacteriales; Weeksellaceae
Description: Flavo-1 RNA
Rfam family: Flavo-1 RNA
Source: RNAcentral
CCCUAGCCCCGAUUGCAACGGCAUCCUUUUGUGUAGUGAAAACGGAACAAAAGAUAUAGUGGAAAGCGGGAAAUAGC